CAUUCAAUGGUAUGCUUCCUUUCUUGCAGGAGAAGGAAAUGCAUGAUGGGAGGCAGCAGAAAAAGAGGACAACUAAUGUGCCUUCAAUUCACGGGAACCUGCAUCUUUGAAGUUACAGGACAGAGACCAUGACCAGAGAAAGUUUAAUGAAUUCCUCGUGGAAAUCAAGAUGUUGCUAGACCUGCCAAGCUUUUUCAGUAAUUCAUAUUUCUGUCUCCAUUGAAGACUACACAUUCAGUGUCAGCCAGAUAAGCACACAGACCUAUAAUCCAUUGACGG
Stegostoma tigrinum is the source of this 279-nucleotide long non-coding RNA. RefSeq lists it as uncharacterized. NCBI's taxonomy places the organism in Eukaryota, Metazoa, Chordata, Chondrichthyes, Orectolobiformes, Stegostomatidae. The record is from RefSeq and is a predicted model, not a curated record. The transcript is spliced from 3 exons.